UAAAGAAUUAAGGGCGUAUGGAGGAUGCCUUGACACGAAAGAGCGAAGAAGGUCGUGGCGUGACUGCGAUAAGCUUCGGGGAGCCGUCUAGCGGGCUUUGAUCCGGAGAUGACCGAAUGGGGGAACCCCAUCGAGCAAACCUCGAUGACCCGGCGCAAGCUGGGAGCGUACCUGGCGAAGUGAAACAUCUCAGUAGCCAGAGGAAAAGAAAUCAACAAGAUUCCCUUAGUAGCGGCGAGCGAAAAGGGAUAAGCCUAAACUUUUUUAACGAUUCCAAAGUUAGCAGAACGGCCUUGGAACAGCCGGCCAAAGAAGGUGAUAGCCCUGUAAGCGAAAACUUCUGGAACUUCUGUUUUAUUGCGGCGCAAGCCGCCUUGCUUGAGUAGCCCGGGAUAAGAAUGUCCUGGGUGAAUUUGCCCAUACUACUGGGUAAGGCUAAAUAUCUUUCGUGAUCGAUAGUGAACCAGUACCGUGAGGGAAAGGUGAAAAGCACCCCGGUGAGGGGAGUGAAAUAGCAACUGAAACCAUAUGCCUACAAAGAGCGGAAGUCCUUCGGCGGCAGCAAUGCCGUCUGGGAUGACCGUGUGCCUAUUGAAGAAUGACCCAACGAGUUUAUCCAAAUUGCUCUAUAAGUGCCUCUGGCACGUAUGGAAAGGGAAACCGAGUGUUAAAAGCGCGUAUUAGAACUAAAUAAAAUUUUCUUUAAAAAGAAAGUUUUAAUAGUUCUAGAAGCAGUUUGGGUAAGACCCGAAGCCAGGCGAGCUAACCAUGCCCAGGAUGAAGGUUGUCGAAAGACAACUGGAGGUCCGAACUGGUUGGUAGCGCAAUACCAUCGGAUGAGGUGUGGUUCGUAGUGAAAAGCUUAUCGAGCCUGGUAAUAGCUGGUUCUCCCCGAAAUGCCUUUAGGGGCAGCGGCGGAUUGUAGUUGAGGGGGUAGAGCACUGAUUGGUUUGCCGUGCCCGCAAGGGUAGGCUUACCAAAUAAACUCCGAAUACCUCAGCGUAAUUUCCGCCAGUGAGUAAGCGAGGGCAAAGCUUCGUUUACGCGAGGGAAACAGCCCAGAUCAUCAAUUAAGGUCCCAAAAUCUAUGCUAAGUGAAAAGGAAGUAUUCUGCCUUAGACAGGUAGGAUGUUGGCUUAGAAGCAGCCAUCAUUUAAAAAGUGCGUAAUAGCUUACUACUCGAUUUCGCCGCAAGGCGACGAGGCAGGAUGCGCCGAAAAUUUAUAGGGGCUAAGCAUAGUACCGAAAUUAUGGGUUUGAUGAUUUCGAAAAGGAUUCAUCAAGCGGUAGGGGAGCAUUCUGAUUGCUGUGAAGGUGAACUGUGAAGUUUGCUGGAGCGUUCAGAAGGGAGAAUGUUGGGAUGAGUAACCGCAAGUGGCGUGAAAACCGCCACCGCCGAAAGCCUAAGGUUUCCUCCGCGAUGUCAAUCAUCGGAGGGUUAGGCGUCCCUAAGCGUAACCUAGCUUGCGGGCUAGGGAUCGCGAUGGUGAGCCGGUUAAUAUUCCGGCCCCGCUUACAUAUUCGAAGGAGUGACGGGCUAAAUUAGAUCGAGCGCAUUAUUGGAUUUGACGUCUUUGCUCAUAGAGUGGGAACCAGGCAAAUCCGGUUCCAGCCGAAAGGCGCACUCGAGAGUGAAAGAAAUGGCCGUUAGGCCAGAUUCGAUUGACGAGGGCUCCAAGAAAAGCUUCUAAGAUUAAUAUGUAAGCGCACGUACCGAAAACCGAAACAGGUGGGCUGGUGUAAGUGCACCAAGGCGAACGGGUGAUUAUUGGCUAAGGAACUCGGCAAAAAAGCGGCCGUAAGUUCGCGAUAAGGCCUUCCCCAGCUAACGCAAGUUAGAUGGGGACGCAGCUAAAGACCCUCUGGCGACUGUUUAUCAAAAACACAACUCCGUGCUAAGCCGUAAGGCGCUGUAUACGGGGUGACGCUUGUCCGGUGCCGGAACGUUAACGGUGAAGGUGGCGGGUAGCAAUACCCUCUGCCAACGCCCGAAGCGCCGGUGAACGACGGCAGUAACUAUAACUGUCUAAAAGUAGCAAAAUACCUUGUGGGGUAAGUUCCCACGCGCAUGAAUAGCGGAACGACUGGAGGACUGUCUCAGCCAAUAGCCCGGUGAAAAUGCAAUGUCGGUAAAGAUGCCGACUACCCGCACCUAGACGGAAAGACCCCGGAAGCUUUACUGUAGCUUGGUAUUGGUCUAUGGGUUUUAAUGCGUAGCGUAGUGGGUACACUUUGAAGCGUCUCUCUCGGGAGACGUGGAGUGGCCAAUGAAACACCCAUCUUUAAAAUCUAUAGCUCUAACCGGUGACACCCUAAAAGCGUGAAAUGAAAAUUUCAAAUUUUUAGGGUUUCAUCGAGACAGUGCCUGGCGGGCAGUUUUUGUGGGGCACAAUCCUCCUAAAAGGUAAUGGAGGAGUUCAUCAAGGUUGGCUAGCUCCGGAUGGAAAUCGGAGCGAUAGUGUAAAGGCACAAGCCAGCUUAACUGCAAGGCGGAUAUGCCGCGCAGAUGCGAAAGCAGGACCUAGUGAACCGACCGUGGCUCGUAGGAGCGCGGAAGAUCAUCAGAUAAAAGCUACUCCGGGGAUAACAGGCUGGUACCGCCCGAGCGUCCUUAGCGACGGCGGUGUUCGGCACCUCGAUGUCGGCUCGGCUUAUCCUGGGACUGAAGAAGGCCCCAAGGGUUUGGCUGUUCGCCAAUUAAAAAGCUACGCGAGAGCUGGGUUCAAACCGUCGUGAGACAGGUUGGUCCAUAUCUGGUGCGGGCGUUGAUACUUGAGAGGAGUUGUCCCUAGUUGACGAGAGGACCGGGAUGAACGAACCUCUGGUCUACGAGCUGUCCUGCCAAGGGCAUUGCUCGGUAGCUAUGUUCGGUUCUGAUAAGCGCUGAAAGCAUAUAAGCGCGAAGCAGGCCUCAAGAUUAGGUAUCGUAGAUCCGCAGUAGACUACUGCGUUAAUAGGACUCAGGUGUAAGCACAGUAAUGUGUUGAGCCGAGAGCCACUAAUAGAUC
RNAcentral lists this ribosomal RNA (3008 nucleotides) under Candidatus Yanofskybacteria bacterium GW2011_GWA1_44_21. RNAcentral describes it as "bacterial LSU rRNA". It matches the Rfam family "Bacterial large subunit ribosomal RNA". RNAcentral also lists the same sequence under 1 other name. The record is from RNAcentral. Lineage: Bacteria; Candidatus Yanofskyibacteriota.